GUGGGGAAUCUUGCACAAUGGGGGAAACCCUGAUGCAGCGACGCCGCGUGAACGAUGAAGCCCUUCGGGGUGUAAAGUUCUUUCGGCAGGGACGAUAAUGACGGUACCUGCAGAAGCAGCUGCGGCUAACUACGUGCCAGCAGCCGCGGUAAUACGUAGGCAGCAAGCGUUGUUCGGAAUUACUGGGCGUAAAGAGUGCGUAGGCGGUUGGCUAAGUUUGGUGUGAAAUCUCCCGGCUCAACUGGGAGGGUGCGCCGAAAACUGGCUAGCUAGAGUGCGGGAGGGGAUAGUGGAAUUCCUGGUGUAGCGGUGAAAUGCGUAGAUAUCAGGAGGAACACCUGAGGUGUAGACGGCUAUCUGGACCGUAACUGACGCUGAGGCACGAAAGCGUGGGGAGCAAACAGGAUUAGAAACCCUGGUAGUCC
RNAcentral lists this ribosomal RNA (425 nucleotides) under uncultured bacterium. RNAcentral's name for it is "bacterial SSU rRNA". It matches the Rfam family "Bacterial small subunit ribosomal RNA", at positions 354 to 796 of the family's 1533-position model. The record is from RNAcentral.